Molecule: long non-coding RNA, 4643 nt
Filed under: Homo sapiens (human)
Lineage: Eukaryota; Metazoa; Chordata; Mammalia; Primates; Hominidae
Description: HSALNT0228553
Source: RNAcentral
GCUGGGUCAAAUGGUAUUUCUAGUUCUAGAUCCUUGAGGAAUCACCACACUGUCUUCCACAAUGGUUGAACUAGCUUUUAUGCAUUGCAAAGUGACUACACAAAGUGACCUAUCCCUUGUCUCCUUUAUCUCUCUAGCAACCCUCCAGUUAUUAGGGCAGCUACUACUCUCAUCUUCCAUAUAAGAAGUGGGAACACUUUCAUGGAUGUUCUGGGACUCACAGUCCAAGUCCUGGUUCUUAGAGAGUUGGAUCCAGAUCCUGUGUCUUGUAGGUAUAUAGGUAUAUGUUUAUGCAUUGAAAUGAAAUAUGUACAACUAGGUCCUUCCCCGUCUCCCCUAUAAAGCCUAUAAAGUCUUCUAUGAAACAAAGUUAAUUCCAUUCUCAGACAGAGGCUCCCAGAAUCCAGUGUUUUGGUUGGUCUCCGCUACAAAUGCUUUUUCUGAUAUUUGUGUGUUUGCAAGUCCCUCUCUGAGACUUUCUAAAAUUUGAUUGUUAAUUGGCUGUUAUAUGCAUGAAGUUCUGGACUUGGUGUCCCAAGCUCUUUAUAGAUUUACUUUUUUUCUCCCCCUCCUGCCAUUAAAUAAUCACCCUUGAGCUUCUCUCAACUUACUCUCCAUCAAUAACCAUUGUAUUCGUUCCAUUACAGCCCUCCUAAAUACAAAACAAUGACGACAACAACAAACCAUUCAAACUUCCAACCAACUUCCCCUGAAGGCACAGAAGGUGAGACCUAAGGGAAAAGAAAUCCACCCUCUUUAACAUCAGCUAACAGCAUAGGAGUAAAUGCCUGGUACAGAGCCCAGAAUUCCUAUUUCACAUUCUGAUUUGGCACUUUCACCAUAAUGGGAAAAUCUCCUCUACUUUUCCUGUGAAGCUGUUUCUUCUCCUUCUGGAAGAUAACAGCAGGAUGAUAGAGGAGGUCAAAGGAUAAAGAGAAAGGAUGCAGCCUAUUUCUUCAUUUAUUUGACCAAUAAUGUUUGAAAAUGAUGAAGUCCUUGUCCUCAAGAAACUAACAGCCUGGGGUGAAGGGUGCAGGUGGGACAGAUGUAAAAACAAUUUCAGAUGCAGACGCUACAUGUGAUUAUCAAAGUCUGUAGAGUGGCUCAUGCCUGUAAUCCCAGCACUUUAGGAGGCUAAGGCAGGCAGAUCACCUGAGGUCAGGAGUUCGAGACCAGCCUGGCCAACAUGGUAAAACCCCAUCUUUACUAAAAAUACAAAAAAAUAGCCAGGCGUGGUGGCAGUCACCUGUAAUCCCAGCUACUCGGGAGGCUGAGGCAGGAGAAUCACUUGAACCGGAGAGGCAGAGGUUGUGGUGAGCUGAGAUCGCGCCACUGCACUCCAGCCUGGGCAACAAGAGUGAGACUUCAUCUCAAAAAAAAAAAAAAAAAAAAAAAAGUCUGUAAAGAAGAGGUCAUAAAGUAGGGUAGUAGUUUUUUAAAAUAUAUAUCUUCCUUUUCUCUACUUAUCAUGCUCAUGCUUUUCUCUACUUUCUUGAAAAAAAUGGAAUGUAUUUUUUAAACUGUGUUGACUUUCUGGUCUGCUGAUUAUAUUAUUUGUCGUUUGUGGGUCUAUUUUCUAUUGAUUGAUUUGCCUACUCUACACUGGACAGGGGGAUCCAGGAAGCCUUCAUAGGAGAAAUAACCCCAAUAAGGGGAAGUGUCCUCCAGGCAGCAAAACAGCACACGAGAGUAGGGUAGAGUGCAAUAGAACAGCUCAGGGAGCCUGAGAAAUUCCGUGGCACUGGAAGCUGGGUUAUGAAGGGGAUAUGUUUAAGGGCUAAGUCUGGAGAGGCAGGCAAUGGCUCAGAUGGUGAAGAAUGUGAUCUGUCAGGUAAGCAGGCAGAACUCAUCCUAUAGAAGGUAAAGAGCCUCUGGAGCGAUCUAAAGGAGAAAGUGUCUUUUGUUUUAAAUGCUCACUAGCUGCAGAGUAGAGAAUGGAUUGAGAGAGGUGAGCCUGAAGAAAGGCCACUUAAGAAGCUAUUAUGGUGGUUAAGGUGAGAGAUGAAAGUAGCCCGGAAAAGAUCAGAUUCAAUGGGGUUGAAGAAAAGUGGAUGAAUUUGAUAGACUUUUAGAAGGGAGAAUCUAAUAUGAUAGAAAAUAUGAGGGUGAUUUCUGGCCCUUCACAGGAGAAAGAGGCUGAAAGAGAGGAACGGAGUGAGGAGAGAUUAUGAAAUGAGUUAGGAUGGGUGGGGUGUAUCCUCUGGGGUUCCCAUGCCAAAUUUCCUUCAGGUGACCAGUUUUACCUUUCUCCCUGCCACCUUCAUCCCUGCCUGGUCAUUAAGGAUGGACAUGCCACUUGUCUUUGCUGGACCUUAAUUUCCAUCCAUGAAAUGAAGGGACUGGGAUUGAGCCCUUCCCUCUUCUCCCAGGCUGGGCUGAGCUCUCCCUUCUCUGAGUCUUGCAGUAUCUGUCUCAGUCUUACACUACUAAGCUUUUGCUGCCCAGUAUCUGCAUUCUGUUUCCCCAAGAAGAGUUGAAGUUCUUGGAGGGGAGGGCACCUUAAGCCACUCGGUAUCCUCUACCAGCUGCUUGCAAAGGCUUCUUCAAACCUGAGAGGCCAGUCUUCCUGGGUAUGGAAGACUAGUCUUCAGGUUGCUUCUGGCUAUCCCCAACAUCCUUACUCUCCAGAACUUUCAGAUGCUGGGUCCAGGGCCCAUUUCACUGAGCCCUCUGCAGCUGGAAUUUAUCUUGCCCCAGAGCCCAGCUGAACAGCACUGGGGGUGGGAGAUGUAAGCUGAUGGGAGAGAAACAUGGCAGGAAUCCUGGUUCUAGGAGAGUUGGAUCCAGAUCCUGUGUCUCGUAGGGAUGUAUGUGUGUGUUUAUGUGUAUAUGUAUGCGUGCAUGUGCAGACAUAUGUGUGUGCACGUAUGACACAUUGGAGUGUCUCUGUGGGUUUUUUUUCUGUAUUAAGUUAUAUGUGAAGUUCCAUUGGUGUGUCUGCACUAAAUCAUGAUGCAUAAGUCAGCGCACACAUCUCAACAUCUAUACGCCCAUGACUAUUAAUGCCUGUGUAUGUGUGAGGGCCUUUGCUGGAAAAUGCAUGUGUCUGUCCACAUACCUGUUUGCAAGUGGGUGCAUAUAUGUUAUACACAUAUACGUUUGUGUGUAUAUGGGUGCCGCACUGUGUGUGUGUGUGUUUAUGUGUGUGUGUGUGUUAAGUGUUAUAUAUAAAUGGAGGCAGGAUACAGAGUCUAGUUUAGAGCAUUUGCUUCAACGUCUGGCUACCUGGGUUCAAGCCCUGAAAUCAGCAUUUAAAAGCUAUAGGCCUUUGAGUAAUUAUCUUUUUAAAGCACCGGUUUACUCGUCACUAAAUUGAAGGUAAUAAUAGUGGCUACCUUCAAUGUCUAAUGUGAGGGUGGAAUGAUAUAAUGCCCAAAAUGCACUUAAAAUAAUGCCUUAUACGUAGGGGGUGUUAAAAAAUAUUGGUUGUUACAAAGUAAUUCAUGACAAUAAAUAUGUAAGUGGCUGACUUGAGGGUCUCUGAGGCUUUCUGCAUGUGCAUCUGUGCCUUUGGGCACGUGAGGUUGAUAUGUGUGUCUGUUAGAAUGUGUGUGUUGGUGUGGAUAGACGCCUCUGGGUAUACAGGCCUGUGUGGGGGGCUAAGUGGGCAUGUGUGUUUGUGGUUUGCCUGUGAGUGCCUCUAUGUGAGUUUGUGUUCUGCCAGGAUUGGGAACAUUCAGAGAUUGUUAUUCAGACAACAUGCCCAUUUGUAGAAAACAAAAAGGUGUAAAUAGCUAGCUAGCUAGAUGAUAAUUGAGUAGGGAGGUAUGUAGACGAUAGGUAGAUAGGAGGUAGAUGAUGAUAGAUAGAUAGAUACAUACAUACAUAGAUAGAUACAUAGAUAGAUACAUGGAUAGAUAGAUGACAGGUAGCUAGACAGAUAGACAGCUGAGAUUGGCUCUAAGUGGAAUCCUAUGUACUUUCUCCUGGAAGUUAUAUUAGAGUUCAUAUGUCUCAGGGUGCUCCAAAACAUCGGCUCUGGCAGCUCUGUGAGUUAUUAUGGAGUUGCUUUGAGGGCCUUCAGAGGAAGGAAUCACAGAAUGGGAGAGCUAAGCUCCCCACCUGACAUCAACAAGAAUCUAUUUGCUUUUAAUCUCUGGUUGUCCAAGUCGAAUUGUAAAGUUUCACUACUAUAAAUUUUUGAAAAUCUUGUUACAGACCAACCCCUUUUAUUCUACAGAAGGGAGCAGCUGAGCCUCAGAGAGGGGAGAAGGUUAGAACCUGACCUCUCUUUCAGGCCUGUUUCUACCAUGCCACCUGCCUUGGGAUGUAGUAAGUAUGACUCCGCUAACUCACUGGGAAACAGAAUGCAAUUCUUCUCAGGAACCCGUCUUUUAGAGAAGCCACUAUCAUAGUGGCCCUUGGGAUGUCUGUCCAAGAAAUGACCCCAUUUGUGUCAGACCUGCCCCAUUAGGUCAGCCCCUUUGGCUAUGUGCUAGAUGGUCCCAGUCCCCUGGCCCAGACUACUGGACCCUGACCCAAGCAGCAAAAUCAAAUUCCCUGAUGCAAUUUGGAGGUGGGAUAGCAACAUGCUAACCAGUCUCUGUUGGUCCCUGAAUUAGGAAGUGAUGUGAAGCUAGAAUGUCCAUAUUUAAUCAAGGGAUGAGUGAACAGGAAAAGCUGGCUUCAGAGACAUAAAAAGA